UACGUAGGAGGCGAGCGUUGUCCGGAAUUACUGGGCGUAAAGCGUGCGCAGGCGGUGCGCCAAGCCAGAUGUGAAAGCCCCGGGCUUAACCUGGGAAUGGCAUUUGGGACUGCAAGGCUGGAGUGUGGCAGAGGAGACUGGAAUUCCUGGUGUAGCAGUGAAAUGCGUAGAUAUCAGGAGGAAUACCGAUGGCGAAGGCAGGUCUCUGGGCUAACACUGACGCUCAUGCACGAAAGCGUGGGGAGCAAACAGG
RNAcentral lists this ribosomal RNA (253 nucleotides) under uncultured bacterium. Its description in RNAcentral is "partial 16S ribosomal RNA". It matches the Rfam family "Bacterial small subunit ribosomal RNA", at positions 524 to 776 of the family's 1533-position model. The record is from RNAcentral.